CUCACUUCAGCUGCUGCCCGCUCUCCCGCUUGCAGAGUCCCGGUGUGGCGAAUCAUGCGAGGUUUGAGCCAGGACAUGGAAGCAACCUGUGUGUCCAUUGACAGAUGAAUGGAUAAAGAAGAUGUGGCACAAUUAUACAAUGGAAUACUACUCAGCCAUAAAAAGAAACGAAAUUGAGUUAUUUGUAGUGAGGUGGAUGGACCUGAGACUGUCAUACAGAGAGAAAUCAUUACCAUCUAUGUCGGGGUUCCCCAACCCCUGGGGUACCAGUCCACAGCCUGUUAGGAACCAGGCCACACAGCAGGAGGAGAUGAGCGGCUGGAGAGCAAGCAAAGCUUCAUCUGCCGCUCCCCCAUCGCGAUCCCGAACCAUCCCCCCGCCCCGUCCCCGUAAGUGGAAAAAUUGUCUCCCACAAAACCGAUCCCUGGUGCCAAAAAGGUUGGAGACCGCUGAUCUAUGUUAUUUUUCUGUUUCCAUCAUUACCUCACUCUUGUUUUGUCACAAUAUAGAGACAGAGUGGUCCUGUUAAAAUGUGAAUCAGAGCAUCCUGAUUAUCCUCAUCUGUUUCUCAGAAAGAGAUCAACAUAAUCUCAAUACUUAUGUCUGGACCACACAUACAUAUUUGAAUGCGUACACACACAUACACACACACACACACACACACACACACACACGUUUUACAGAUUGAACUUCUGUUAUUCAUUCAUUAUAUGUUCAAAAUUUUACCAUCCAGGUUGCCCUCCUAAUAAUUUCCCUUCAUUAUGAGUCACUCACAUGGAACGUAAUUGUUUACAUGUGAUCCUAAAAUUAUGCCAUCUAUUACCUCCCCUGUUCUGUACAUGGAAUUUCUGAUAGCACUCUCUUCGACUGCAUUGCCAUUUUUGACUAUCAUGUUCUUUGCAAUGCGUCAAACUUUUAGUCAAGUAAGACUUUUAGCAUUUAAAAAAAAUAUAAAUUCCUACUCAGUCCACUCAUCCUAUUCUUGAUUAUGGAUAAUAUUAACCCAAAUACAAAAGUUUUCAUGCAUCACUA
Kogia breviceps (pygmy sperm whale) is the source of this 1032-nucleotide non-coding RNA. The record is from RefSeq and is a predicted model, not a curated record. Lineage: Eukaryota; Metazoa; Chordata; Mammalia; Artiodactyla; Physeteridae.